RNAcentral lists this ribosomal RNA (296 nucleotides) under Mesabolivar sp. Br16-60. RNAcentral's name for it is "partial 18S ribosomal RNA". The record is from RNAcentral. Lineage: Eukaryota; Metazoa; Arthropoda; Arachnida; Araneae; Pholcidae.
GCGCGCUACACUGAAGGAAUCAACGUGUGCUCUCCCUGUCCGCCAGGACCGGGUAAUCCGUUGAACCUCCUUCGUGACAGGGACAGAGAAUUGGAAUUUUCUCUCGAACGAGGAAUUCCCAGUAAGCGCGAGUCAUCAMCUCGUGUUGAUUACGUCCCUGCCCAUUGUACACACCGCCCGUCGCUACUACCGAUUGAAUGAUUUAGUGAGGUCUUCGGACUGGUGCUCGAGACGACCUUCCGGUCGGGUCGGCGCGCCGGAAAGAUGACCGAACUUGAUCAUUUAGAGGAAGUAAA